RNAcentral lists this ribosomal RNA (253 nucleotides) under uncultured bacterium. Its description in RNAcentral is "partial 16S ribosomal RNA". It matches the Rfam family "Bacterial small subunit ribosomal RNA", at positions 524 to 776 of the family's 1533-position model. The record is from RNAcentral.
UACGUAGGGUGCGAGCGUUGUCCGGAAUUAUUGGGCGUAAAGGGCUCGUAGGCGGUUUGUCGCGUCGGGAGUGAAAACCUUGGGCUUAACUCAGGGCUUGCUUUCGAUACGGGCAGACUAGAGGUAUGCAGGGGAGAACGGAAUUCCUGGUGUAGCGGUGAAAUGCGCAGAUAUCAGGAAGAACACCAACGGCGAAGGCAGCUCGCUGGGACGGUACUGACGCUGAGACGCGAAAGCGUGGGGAGCGAACAGG